RNAcentral lists this ribosomal RNA (592 nucleotides) under Chaetothyriales sp. CR07/2-1. RNAcentral's name for it is "partial 18S ribosomal RNA". The stretch from base 162 to 494 matches the Rfam family "Group I catalytic intron". Rfam says of the family: Group I catalytic introns are large self-splicing ribozymes. They catalyse their own excision from mRNA, tRNA and rRNA precursors in a wide range of organisms. The core secondary structure consists of 9 paired regions (P1-P9). The record is from RNAcentral. Lineage: Eukaryota; Fungi; Ascomycota; Eurotiomycetes; Chaetothyriales.
GAUUGAUGGCUCAGUGAGGCCUUGGGAUUGGCCAGGGGAGAUGGGCAACCAUCACCCCAGGCCGAAAACUUGGUCAAACUUGGUCAUUUAGAGGAAGUAAAAGUCGUAACAAGGUUUCUGAUCCUUCCAAUGGUGAACGUCAUUCAGGAAGCCUUUGUCGCCUGAAAGGGUGUGCAUACCGCGACUCUAAACAAUGUAAGUAUGUCAAGGACAAGUCGGGGGUCUGUGAAGGCUCCCGGCGACGCUGUCAAAUUGCGGGGAGUCCCUUAGAGCUUUCACUACUAAGCGGUGUCCGAAAGGUCACCGUGGCCAGGGUAAUGCCCUCGGGUACAGUCACAACGUGGAAGAUUGGGUAACCUGCAGCCAAGUCCUGUCGCCUGGAGAGAGCGGUACAAAGCUUUCUACAGGCGUGGAUGCUGUUCACAGGCCAAAUGGUAGCGGGUUCGGCUGCGGCCGGGCUCAAGAUAUGGUCGGUCCUGCGAGGAAACUUGCGGGGAGUUCGCCGGGUUGUUGGGCUCUCGUCGCACGAGUGGCGCACAACCAGUAACAAGAAAACAAACGUUCCGUAGGUGAACCUGCGGAAGGAUCAUUA